AUAAGGUUAAGUUAAUAAGGGCGCACGGUGGAUGCCUUGGCACUAGGAGCCGACGAAGGACGUGACAAACGACGAUAUGCCUUGGGUAGCUGUAAGUAAGCGAUGAUCCAGGGAUUUCCGAAUGGGGGAACCCAACAGGUAAUACCUGUUACCCACAUCUGUUAAGGAUGUGAGGAGGAAGACGCAGUGAACUGAAACAUCUAAGUAG
This 208-nucleotide ribosomal RNA is filed under the name Klebsiella pneumoniae. RNAcentral describes it as "partial 23S ribosomal RNA". It matches the Rfam family "Bacterial large subunit ribosomal RNA", at positions 1 to 209 of the family's 2925-position model. Lineage: Bacteria; Pseudomonadati; Pseudomonadota; Gammaproteobacteria; Enterobacterales; Enterobacteriaceae. The record is from RNAcentral.